AAUUUAAAAGGUUAUUUAAAAGGUGAUGCCUGCCCAGUGAUUCUUCAACGGCCGCGGGAUCCUACACCGUGCAAAGGUAGCAUAAUCAUUUGUCAUCUAAAUAGUGACUAGUAUGAAUGGCCCAAUGAGGACUUUCCUGUCUCUUGUAACCAAUCAAUGAAACUGAUCUUUCAGUCCAAAAGCUGAAAUACUCACACAAGACGAAAAGACCCUGUGGAACUUUAAGUGCUAAUCAACACAUGACACAAACACUUUUAGUUGGGGCAACUUUGGAACAAAACAGAACUUCCAAUAAUAGACCACCUCUAACAAACCAAGGCCCACACGCCAAUGUUUGCCUCUUAUAUUGAUCCAGUAUUACUGAUCAAAGAAACAAGCUACCCCAGGGAUAACAGCGCCAUCCCCUCUUAGAGUCCCAAUCGACGAGCGGGGCUUACGACCUCGAUGUUGGAUCAGGGCCCCCAAACAGUGCAGCAGCUGUUAAAGGUUUGUUUGUUCAACAAUUAAUGCCCUACGUGAUCUGAUUCCAGACCGGA
This 536-nucleotide ribosomal RNA is filed under the name Ameiva ameiva. RNAcentral's name for it is "partial 16S ribosomal RNA". It matches the Rfam family "Bacterial large subunit ribosomal RNA", at positions 1828 to 2620 of the family's 2925-position model. The record is from RNAcentral. Lineage: Eukaryota; Metazoa; Chordata; Lepidosauria; Squamata; Teiidae.